AUUGAACGCUGGCGGCAGGCCUAACACAUGCAAGUCGAGCGGAUGAAGAGAGCUUGCUCUCUGAUUUAGCGGCGGACGGGUGAGUAAUGCCUAGGAAUCUGCCUGGUAGUGGGGGAUAACGUUCCGAAAGGAACGCUAAUACCGCAUACGUCCUACGGGAGAAAGUGGGGGAUCUUCGGACCUCACGCUAUCAGAUGAGCCUGGGUCGGGUUAGCUAGUUGGUGAGGUAAUGGCUCACCAAGGCGACGAUCCGUAACUGGUCGGAGAGGAUGAUCAGGCACACUGGAACUGAGACACGGUCCAGACGCCUACGGGAGGCAGCAGUGGGGAAUAUUGGGCAAUGGGCGAAAGCCUGAUCCAGCCAUGCCGCGUGGGUGAGGAAGGUCUUCGGAUUGUAAAGCACUUUAAGUUGGGAGGAAGGGUUGUAGAUUAAUACUCUGCAAUUUUGACGUUACCGACAGAAUAAGCACCGGCUAACUUCGUGCCAGCCGCCGCCGUAA
This 500-nucleotide ribosomal RNA is filed under the name uncultured bacterium. Its description in RNAcentral is "partial 16S ribosomal RNA". It matches the Rfam family "Bacterial small subunit ribosomal RNA", at positions 30 to 523 of the family's 1533-position model. The record is from RNAcentral.